GCCAGACUCCUACGGGAGGCAGCAGUGAGGAAUAUUGGUCAAUGGGCGCGAGCCUGAACCAGCCAAGUCGCGUGAGGGAAGACGGUCCUAUGGAUUGUAAACCUCUUUUGCCGGGGAGCAAGCGUGCGUUCGUGAACGCGCGUCGAGAGUACCCGGAGAAAAAGCAUCGGCUAACUCCGUGCCAGCAGCCGCGGUAAUACGGAGGAUGCGAGCGUUAUCCGGAUUUAUUGGGUUUAAAGGGUGCGUAGGCGGAAUGCCAAGUCAGCGGUAAAAAUGCGGUGCUCAACGCCGUCGAGCCGUUGAAACUGGCGUUCUUGAGUGGGCGAGAAGUAUGCGGAAUGCGUGGUGUAGCGGUGAAAUGCAUAGAUAUCACGCAGAACUCCGAUUGCGAAGGCAGCAUACCGGCGCCCUACUGACGCUGAGGCACGAAAGCGUGGGUAUCGAACAGGAUUAGAUACCCGCGUACU
RNAcentral lists this ribosomal RNA (467 nucleotides) under uncultured bacterium. RNAcentral describes it as "bacterial SSU rRNA". It matches the Rfam family "Bacterial small subunit ribosomal RNA", at positions 330 to 794 of the family's 1533-position model. The record is from RNAcentral.